Molecule: ribosomal RNA, 253 nt
Filed under: uncultured bacterium
Lineage: Bacteria
Also listed under: 1 other name
Description: partial 16S ribosomal RNA
Rfam family: Bacterial small subunit ribosomal RNA
Source: RNAcentral
UACGUAGGGUGCGAGCGUUAAUCGGAAUUACUGGGCGUAAAGCGUGCGCAGGCGGGCUUUUAAGCCAGACGUGAAAUCCCCGGGCUUAACCUGGGAAUGGCGUUUGGGACUGGGAGUCUGGAGUGCGGCAGAGGAGACUGGAAUUCCUGGUGUAGCAGUGAAAUGCGUAGAUAUCAGGAGGAACACCGAUGGCGAAGGCAGGUCUCUGGGCUGACACUGACGCUCAUGCACGAAAGCGUGGGGAGCAAACAGG